GAACUGAAGAGUUUGAUCAUGGCUCAGAUUGAACGCUGGCGGCAGGCCUAACACAUGCAAGUCGAGCGGAUGAAGGGAGCUUGCUCCUGGAUUCAGCGGCGGACGGGUGAGUAAUGCCUAGGAAUCUGCCUGGUAGUGGGGGAUAACGUCCGGAAACGGGCGCUAAUACCGCAUACGUCCUGAGGGAGAAAGUGGGGGAUCUUCGGACCUCACGCUAUCAGAUGAGCCUAGGUCGGAUUAGCUAGUUGGUGGGGUAAAGGCCUACCAAGGCGACGAUCCGUA
Molecule: ribosomal RNA, 282 nt
Filed under: Pseudomonas aeruginosa
Lineage: Bacteria; Pseudomonadati; Pseudomonadota; Gammaproteobacteria; Pseudomonadales; Pseudomonadaceae
Also listed under: 1 other name
Description: partial 16S ribosomal RNA
Rfam family: Bacterial small subunit ribosomal RNA
Source: RNAcentral